This 2269-nucleotide long non-coding RNA is filed under the name Xyrichtys novacula (pearly razorfish). The record is from RNAcentral. Lineage: Eukaryota; Metazoa; Chordata; Actinopteri; Labriformes; Labridae.
CUGCUAUAAAAAGGCAAUUUAGAAUGAGCUCUUAUGGGUUUCUUGGGAGUUUGAAACCAGCCUGAGAUGGACACUCAAGGGCCUGCAGAUUUUCGUACUUCUGCACCGGCUUCAUUUUUCAACACCAGAGGUUGCCACUUACUUAGAAAGCCUGAAGCACAACCCGAAAUGACCCGUUCUACUGACAUAUUCCCCAUAUUAACUAACAAUAUUUCAAUAUUAAAACUUAAUUUCAAUGCCCUGAUAGGCCAAAAACCUCAAUAAGUACUAGUUAAAGAAAGGACCAGGUAAAUCAACAUGAAAGUGGGUUGCACAGAAAUAUUUCUAAAAUCUGUGGCAGCAUUAUUCAAAACAGUCGACAACUAAAAAAGAAAGUAAACUAGAACCGGAGCUACACAGACAAUUCAAAACUAAAUUAAACUUAACCUUUAAGACAUAAAAUAGUAGAUGCUGGGUGCUGGUUUUUCUUUGUGGAUAAAUUGAGCCCCUCAGGAAAGGGGGCUUCAGUCCUUGAAGCUGGUGGUCAUGGCUGGUGGGGUUUGAUUUCAACCUGCUUUUAACCGCAUGUCAUUCCUCACUCUCUCCUUAUUGUGGUGACAAGCUAAUGUUAGCAACAUCUGGUGGUUUGUUUCAAUAUUUAGUAGCACCUUUCAGCCGCAUAAGUACUGUGUUUGGUAAAAGCCAGUUUGAUUAAGUAAUACAUCAAUCUACACUCAGUAAACACCUGAAUUAUACACUAGAAAGAGCAACUCUUUUAUCGUUUGACGUAAUACAAUUUGAAGAAACUCAAACUCAUUUAGUGUCCACAUUUGUUGGCCACAGAUAUUUUAGUUCCUCACUGUUGUCUUGAAAAACUCACACUGGGUCAGUCUUGUGUAAAAGGAAAGUAUCAGAAGUUUCCAUGCAGGAGUACUUGAUUUAUGUUGUUUUGAUUCUCUUCAUACUCUCCAUCAAUGCUGCAUGGUGUGCCUUUGUCUUUCCUCCUUUAUAGCAAAGAGCUAAAGGGUCCUGAGGUGUCAGCUACUUUCCAUGCUUUGCCCUCUUCUUUUUCCUAUCCUCCCCAUCGCUCCUUGAGGUUUCAAAUUCUCCUAAUCUUUCUUGUUCUCCAGGCUCAUGAAAAGAAAUCCAUCUGCCCUUUCGGGGAGAGCGUAAAAAAUAGUCCUGCAGCUUAAAUCAGACAGAAGAAUGGAUAGAGGUCCUUUGAAAAGAAGAAAAGGUGCAUUGCAGGAACGAAAAGUGUUCACAGGAGCACCGAGGUGAGGAAGUGCUGAAAUAUUUGGUGUUAGAAAAGAGUGGAUGACAUUACAAAUGGGCAGAGAGGAAGAGAGGAAAAAACAGGCAGGAGGGAGUCACAGAGGAGAGGCCUGGAAGUCAAAAGUGUGGUGAUAGAGAGGUUCAGAGAGAGUGUUAGAUACUGAAAGAACAGAGAGAGCAGAGAGGAAAGAAGCUGAGAAGGAAAAAAAAGCAAGGAUUGAUGAGAAAGAGAAAGGAUGAAGUGAACGAUGAGAGAGCUGGAAGAGGGGAGAUAAGGUGAGACGUGGGUUUGACAUCAUUACCGACAGCAGGGCUUGUGUUUACCACUCGGCUGCUGUUUACGGAGGAACUCAUACUGAGAGGACACCUGGUGAGCUGUCAACACACACACACACACACACACACACACACACACACACACACACACACACACACACACACACACACACACACACAGACAAACAUACACAGUGUCAUACACAGUGUCUGUGAGCAGCCGUCACAGCACUGCUCUCCGUGGUGCUGAACCCAACAUGGAGCAGCCCAGAGCGGGGCAGGACUCCUCCUCUGCCGUCCUUAUGGGGAGAAUCCUGCCAGAGGGGGACAACCAGGGGGAAAGGAGGGAGGGGGAUCUAUUUUUAACCACUCCGCUCAUUGUUUAUUAAUGAGCGGGUGUUUAGUCAGACCUGGGGUGCUGUUUAAUGUAUGAUGACAACGCCGCUCUCCAGGGACCUUUCCCAUACUCCUCGGCCUGCGUUUUACAUAACUGACACAGAUUUAGGGGAAGUGGGCUGGGCAGGUUGGCCAUGAGUGGGGGAUGGCGAGUAUGUGUGUAUGUAGGUGUGUGUGUGUGUGUGCAGAUAUGAGUAUCUUCUCUCCCUUGCUGCUAAGUGGUGUACACAUGGGGAGGUUUAACAAGGGGCCACACUGAGGUUCCCAUUUCCUCUUCAUGCUGGGAGCGAUCCAGAAUUCAGCUAAGAAGCAGCGGUCUUUCUUUGAUAUGCUAUGGAUCCUC